AACGAACGCUGGCGGCAUGCCUAACACAUGCAAGUCGAACGAUGCCUUCGGGCAUAGUGGCGCACGGGUGCGUAACGCGUGGGAAUCUGCCCUUGGGUUCGGAAUAACUCAGAGAAAUUUGAGCUAAUACCGGAUGAUGACGUAAGUCCAAAGAUUUAUCGCCCAAGGAUGAGCCCGCGUAAGAUUAGCUAGUUGGUGGGGUAAAGGCCUACCAAGGCGACGAUCUUUAGCUGGUCUGAGAGGAUGAUCAGCCACACUGGGACUGAGACACGGCCCAGACUCCUACGGGAGGCAGCAGUGGGGAAUAUUGGACAAUGGAGGCAACUCUGAACCAGCCAUGCCGCGUGCAGGAUGACGGCCCUAUGGGUUGUAAACUGCUUUUGUACCAGAGAAAACCUACUCACGUGUGAGUAGCUGAUAGUAUGGUAAGAAUAAGCAUCGGCUAACUUCGUGCCAGCAGCCGCGGUAAAGUAG
Molecule: ribosomal RNA, 474 nt
Filed under: uncultured bacterium
Lineage: Bacteria
Description: bacterial SSU rRNA
Rfam family: Bacterial small subunit ribosomal RNA
Source: RNAcentral